CCUACGGGAGGCAGCAGUGGGGAAUAUUGGUCAAUGGGCGCGAGCCUGAACCAGCCAAGUCGCGUGCAGGAUGACUGCCCUCCGGGUUGUAAACUUCUUUUAUAAAGGAAUAAAGUGAGGCACGUGUUCCUUUUUUUAUGUACUUUAUGAAUAAGGAUCGGCUAACUCCGUGCCGGCAGCCGCGGUAAUACGGAGGAUCCGAGCGUUAUCCGGAUUUAUGGGGUUUAAAGUGAGCGUAGAUGGGUUGUUAAGUCAGUUGUGAAAGUUUGCGGCUCAACCGUAAAAUUGCAAUUGAUACUGGCAGUCUUGAGUACAGUUGAGGUAGGCGGAAUUCGUGGUGUAGCGGUGAAAUGCUUAGAUAUCAAGAAGAACUCCGAUUGCGAAGGCAGCUUACUAAACUGAGACUGACAUUGAUGCUCGAAAGUGUGGGUAUCAAACAGGAUUAGAUACCCCAGUAGUC
RNAcentral lists this ribosomal RNA (460 nucleotides) under uncultured bacterium. RNAcentral describes it as "partial 16S ribosomal RNA". It matches the Rfam family "Bacterial small subunit ribosomal RNA", at positions 338 to 795 of the family's 1533-position model. The record is from RNAcentral.